Molecule: long non-coding RNA, 2678 nt
Organism: Sarcophilus harrisii (Tasmanian devil)
Lineage: Eukaryota; Metazoa; Chordata; Mammalia; Dasyuromorphia; Dasyuridae
Exons: 4
Source: RefSeq, a predicted model, not a curated record
AGGAUAGACAGGGAAUCAUGUGUCUGGUAACAGGGUUCUGGGUCAUAUAUUACUGCAGGAAAAAUCAGGGAAAGAGCAGUGACAGAAGCUGUCCUCCCCUGAAAAUCACCAGUCUGCUCCGAGCAGCUUCCAGUGAAUUUGUAUUGAUCCAUAUAAUAUAGGUAUUGGGCUCUCUGAUCACUUCUACUCUCAAUGGCAGGGAUAUUUACUGAGAAGAUAUAGCAGGACUAGAAGAGCAUUUAUCCCAGCAGUCCAGAGUACCUUCUCCCCUAUAUUACUUUGGCACUCAUAGAGGGAUCCAACAUUGGAUUCUACGCCCAGUUUUGCAGGAGAAGCUGCUUGGUGCCAGGUGUGGUGCUGGAAAGGAAGGUGGAAUGAGAAUCAUAUGGAGAGAAGCAGGCCAAGGUCUGGGACUUGGUCCAAAAAGAAAUCUCCAGGUUCUGGGCUGGGACAUCCUAGUUUGAUCUCAAACUUCAGCAGAGCACACAUUACAUCUGGGCUGAUCCCUGAUGUUCAGUAAGGUGAGUGUGAGGGCAGUACAAAAAGAUUCAAUUCAUUCAUUGAGUGCCUGCUCUGCACACGGCAGGUAGUGCCAAUGAGUAAAACUGAUCUUCCUGCAUUGAGGUCCCCCUCUCCAAUCCUGCCCCCCUCCAAUUCCUCUUCUAUGGAGUUGCCAAACUGAUUUUUACUAAAGUCUAGAUUUCACCGGGUCACUCUCCUGCUAAAGAGCCGUCAGUGACUCCCUAUUGUCUCUUAGGAAAAAAACAAAUCCUCUGUCCUUUAAAGCUCUUUUCAUCUGUCUCCCGACUAUCUCUCCAGGCUGAUUACACAUUAUUUCCCUUUGCACAGUUUAUGUUCCAGCUAAAUUGGCCUAUUUGUGGAUCUUACCAUGUCCCAUUCCAUUUCCUGCCUCUGACUUUUGGACAGGCCAUUCUUUAAUACUCUUCCUCCGGACCUUUGCUUCUCAGAAUCCUUAACUCCCUUCAUCACUUAGAUCCAAGUGCCAGCUUCUACAUGAAUCCUAGCCUGAGCUGCCCGAUUGUUAAUUCUCUACUAUCUAAAAGCGCUUAGUACUUGCUUAUUUAUGUACAUGUCAUUUCUCCCUCCCUCCUCCCCCAGUAGAACAUAAGCUCUUUGGGAACAGAGAGUCAGCAUAGUUCUGGCAUGUAGUAGGAACUUAAUAAAUGAGAGCUGGGUCCUGAAGCUGUGAUUUUAUUCGUAUAGGGACCAUCCUUGAUGAGAAAAUUCCUUCUUUCAAGGCAGGCCAACCCUUUUUUAUUGUCUUAGAGAGAUUGAGGACUCGCCUGUGGUUGCUCAGCCAGCAUCUGUGGGACUUGAAACUGGGCUUUGGCCCAUGCUAUGUGGUGAUCCACUCUGCCUCUAAGGUACCACUCACCCCUACUUGGAGCCUCAUUGGACCUCUGGGAAGCAGGCAGGUGCCGGGUGUUAGGGAUGAUAAAGACCCUAUAGACAUCACCGAAAUUUACUGAUGAUUCUCAAAUCUACCUUUUUUGCCCCAAUCUGUGCUGACCUCUAAUCUCACAUUUUCAGACAUCUCAAAAUGGAGGUCUAUCUUAAACUCAACAUAUUCCCAAACUAAACUCAUUGUUUUUCCCUCAAAACCCUCCCUCUCCCUUCCCUCCCUGUUUCUAUAGAGAACAAUUCUAGAGGUAAGCCUGCUGGACUCCUCACUAUCUCUCAUUCCUUUCCCCAGAUCAAGGCUAUUGUCAAGUCCAUUUCACCUCUGCAGCAUCUCUCAUCAGUUUUAGCUCUGAAGCAUCUUUUGCAAAUUCACCUCUCCAGUAUCAUUUGUAAAUUUCACCUCUCCAGCAUCUCUUGUAGAUUUCAUUUCUCCAGCAUCUCUUGUAGAUUUCAUUUCUCCAGCAUCUCUUGUAGAUUUCACCUCUCCAGCAUCUCUUGUAGAUUUCACCUCUCCAGCUUCUCUUGUAGAUUUCACCUCUCCAGCAUCUCUUGCACAUUUUGCCUCUCCAGUAUCUCUUGAGAAUUUCACCUUUCUAGCAUCUCUCCAGUAUCCUCUCCUCUGACACUGCCACCAGUGGUACCCUCAUCACCUGACACCUAAACUACUGCAAAGCUGCUGGUGGGUCUGCCUGCCUUGUGUCUUCAUACUUCAAUUCAUCAUUCAAACACCAAAGUAAUUUUCCUAAAGCACAGAUCCAACUAUGUCAUCCUUCUACACUCAACAAACUCCAGUGACUCCUUAUUGCCUGUAAGAAUGAAAAUUUCUCUUUUGGCAUUCAAACCCUUUUAUGACCUAGUCCCCUUCUAUCUUUUCAGUCUUCUUACACCUUACUCCCCACAUGUACUCUUUAAUCCAGUAAUACUGAACUCCUGGCUAUUUUGUGAACCAGACCCUCCAUUUCUUGGCUUUAGGUAUUUUCACUGCCUGUUCUUUCAAAUCUGGAACAUUCUUCUUCCCCCUCUCUGCCUACUGGCUCCCAUCAAGUUCCAACCAAAAUCCCAUUUUUGGAGAAAGCCUUUCCAAAUUCCUCUUAAUUCUAGUGCCUUCCCUCAGUUUAUUAUUUACUAUUUUUCCUAUAUGGAGGGCUUGAUUUGGAUAAAUUUUAUUUACAUGUUGUCUCUCUCAUUAGACUGCAAGCUCUAAAGACAGAGCUUAUCUUUUGUCUUUUUUUGUAUCCCUCAUACUUAGCAUAGUG